Molecule: non-coding RNA, 657 nt
Organism: Camellia sinensis
Lineage: Eukaryota; Viridiplantae; Streptophyta; Magnoliopsida; Ericales; Theaceae
Source: RefSeq, a predicted model, not a curated record
UGAAGGAGCAGUUUGUGCUAUUGGAACCAAACAAAAGUGGCACCCUAAGCUUGGACAAUGUUAAAGCGGCCUUGAUGAAAAGUGCAACAGAUGCUGUGAAGGAGUCUCACAUCCUUGAAUUUCUUACAUCAGUAUGUGCUUUGAUUGUGAUGGUGGAUGUGCCAUCAACAAUUGUUUCCCCUAUGGUGUUCUAAUUUUUGGAGUGAAAUUGUUUUCUCUUCUUUUGUGACAGCAUGAAACGGUUUGAUUUCUAUAGCAUCUCUUCUUUGCUCUUCAAUGAUUGAAGUGGGUUUUCAAAAGGUCUCUACCUAGCUGCGGUGAAAAAAUGCAGAUUUCAAAAAAUAGAGAACGAGGUGUCAGGUUAGCAUUUCCUGUCAUACUUAUUGGUUCUAUUUGAUUGACAACAGUUACUUUUGAGUCUGUUAGUUGGUGUUUACUAAUGCAACAUUUAUGUGGUCUAUUUUGGUUAAGCAAUUUGCAAGAUCUUGUUACUGUUAGCUUUCUUUUGUUCAAUUGUUUUGAUCCUGACCAAUCAAGACUGAUGUUAAUUGUUAAUAAUUGUGAGAUGGCGAAUUAAUUCAGUAUUUGUGAUUUAUCAUUUAUGAACCCUUUGAUGAUAAACAAAGGCCUUUUUUGUUCUUCUUUUAACUUGUCCAA